This is a long non-coding RNA of Choloepus didactylus (southern two-toed sloth), 428 nucleotides long. RefSeq lists it as uncharacterized. The transcript has 5 exons. Lineage: Eukaryota; Metazoa; Chordata; Mammalia; Pilosa; Megalonychidae. The record is from RefSeq and is a predicted model, not a curated record.
GAGAGAAAGCACCGCCUUGCUGAUGCCCUGAUUCAAAACCGUGCCAGGAGGCCGAUGAUCAUCAGAGUUACUCAGGAACCCAGGCUGAUGGAAGCCCCCUCCCAGUACAUACACACUUCAGUGAUCACCAGUAAAAAGACCAGGAGGAAUGUUUCCCACUUCCCUUUGUUCCCAGAGAGAAUUUGAAGGCAAAGACACUUCUACCAAGGAUUUACUCUACAGGGGGUUGGAUGAACAAUUCCCUGAAUGAGAAUCCACUUCCGUGUAAGCACCUGGCCUUUAAAACUAGAAGUCUUCCGAUGUCCUUUCUGGAUGGAAUUUUGGGUCCGACUCCCUAAAGACUCAGAUAUUUGCUACAAGAAGCUGCAAGAAACAGGAGGCCAUGAAGUCAAGCAGAAAGUCUCUGAAAAACAGUUUUUCAGUAGCCU